UUUCUUCAGGGCAGGGUGUGAUUCCCUACCGGCGGUGAUAGUCCGCGACUCCCUUUUCCGGGGACUGAAUCGGUGAAAUUCCGGUACCGACGGUGAUAGUCCGGAUGGUAGAAGAA
Molecule: non-coding RNA, 116 nt
Filed under: uncultured Odoribacter sp.
Lineage: Bacteria; Pseudomonadati; Bacteroidota; Bacteroidia; Bacteroidales; Odoribacteraceae
Description: FMN riboswitch (RFN element)
Rfam family: FMN riboswitch aptamer (RFN element)
About the family: The RFN element is a highly conserved domain that is found frequently in the 5'-untranslated regions of prokaryotic mRNAs that encode for flavin mononucleotide (FMN) biosynthesis and transport proteins. This element is a metabolite-dependent riboswitch that directly binds FMN in the absence of proteins. In Bacillus subtilis, the riboswitch most likely controls gene expression by causing premature transcription termination within the 5' untranslated region of the ribDEAHT operon and precluding access to the ribosome-binding site of ypaA mRNA.
Source: RNAcentral